RNAcentral lists this ribosomal RNA (436 nucleotides) under uncultured bacterium. RNAcentral's name for it is "bacterial SSU rRNA". It matches the Rfam family "Bacterial small subunit ribosomal RNA", at positions 9 to 491 of the family's 1533-position model. The record is from RNAcentral.
GAGUUUGAUCCUGGCUCAGAAUGAACGCUGGCGGCAUGCCUAACACAUGCAAGUCGAACGAAGGCUUCGGCCUUAGUGGCGCACGGGUGCGUAACGCGUGGGAAUCUGCCCUCAGGUUCGGAAUAACAGCGAGAAAUUGCUGCUAAUACCGGAUGAUAUCGUAAGAUCAAAGAUUUAUCGCCUGGGGAUGAGCCCGCGUAGGAUUAGCUAGUUGGUGUGGUAAAGGCGCACCAAGGCGACGAUUCUUAGCUGGUCUGAGAGGAUGAUCAGCCACACUGGGACUGAGACACGGCCCAGACUCCUACGGGAGGCAGCAGUGGGGAAUAUUGGACAAUGGGCGAAAGCUUGAUCCAGCAAUGCCGCGUGAGUGAUGAAGGCCUUAGGGUUGUAAAGCUCUUUUACCCGGGAUGAUAAUGACAGUACCGGGAGAAUAAGA